Molecule: ribosomal RNA, 253 nt
Filed under: uncultured bacterium
Lineage: Bacteria
Description: partial 16S ribosomal RNA
Rfam family: Bacterial small subunit ribosomal RNA
Source: RNAcentral
UACGUAGGGUGCAAGCGUUGUCCGGAAUUAUUGGGCGUAAAGAGCUCGUAGGCGGUCUGUUGCGUCGGCUGUGAAAACCCGGGGCUCAACUCCGGAUCUGCGGUGGGUACGGGCAGACUAGAGUGAUGUAGGGGAGACUGGAAUUCCUGGUGUAGCGGUGAAAUGCGCAGAUAUCAGGAGGAACACCGAUGGCGAAGGCAGGUCUCUGGGCAUUAACUGACGCUGAGGAGCGAAAGCAUGGGGAGCGAACAGG